UGGGGGAUAUUGCACAAUGGGCGAAAGCCUGAUGCAGCAAUGCCGCGUGAGGGAAGAAGGUUUUCGGAUUGUAAACCUCUGUCCCUGAUGACGAAGUAAGUGACGGUAAUCAGGGAGGAAGCCACGGCUAACUACGUGCCAGCAGCCGCGGUAAUACGUAGGUGGCAAGCGUUGUCCGGAAUUACUGGGUGUAAAGGGAGCGCAGGCGGGAGAGCAAGUCAGCGGUGAAAACUAUGGGCUCAACCCAUAGACUGCCGUUGAAACUGUUUUUCUUGAGUGAAGUAGAGGCAGGCGGAAUUCCGAGUGUAGCGGUGAAAUGCGUAGAUAUUCGGAGGAACACCAGUGGCGAAGGCGGCCUGCUGGGCUUUUACUGACGCUGAGGCUCGAAAGUGUGGGGAGCAAACAGG
RNAcentral lists this ribosomal RNA (407 nucleotides) under uncultured bacterium. Its description in RNAcentral is "bacterial SSU rRNA". It matches the Rfam family "Bacterial small subunit ribosomal RNA", at positions 355 to 776 of the family's 1533-position model. RNAcentral also lists the same sequence under 1 other name. The record is from RNAcentral.